This 253-nucleotide ribosomal RNA is filed under the name uncultured bacterium. RNAcentral describes it as "partial 16S ribosomal RNA". It matches the Rfam family "Bacterial small subunit ribosomal RNA", at positions 524 to 776 of the family's 1533-position model. The record is from RNAcentral.
UACGUAGGGGGCAGGCGUUAUCCGGAUUUACUGGGUGUAAAGGGAGCGUAGACGGCGAUGCAAGUCUGAAGUGAAAGGCGGGGGCCCAGCCCCCGGACUGCUUUGGAAACUGUAUGGCUGGAGUGCAGGAGAGGUAAGUGGAAUUCCUAGUGUAGCGGUGAAAUGCGUAGAUAUUAGGAGGAACACCAGUGGCGAAGGCGGCUUACUGGACUGUAACUGACGUUGAGGCUCGAAAGCGUGGGGAGCAAACAGG